UAGGCUAACUGUUUAAGUCAGGGAGUGAUCUGGGUGAAAUUUACGAACAUGAUCACUAUUAUUGGAUUGUUGGCUACACAUCAUCAACUUCCCAAGCAAACUUAGCAACUCGUCAUAAACAGAUGUCACAUUAUUUUGGCCAUACUUUUCACAGAAUGAAACAUUCCAUUAUUAUAAUGAAUUAAUGUAUGCAUUUAUUUUAGAACGUAUUCGAUGCUCGUAUUAUUUUUGUACAGGUGCUGUCCUGAUUUGAUAAGAACACCUGAGUCUUGAACGGAAUAAGAAUCCACUUAUCCCCUCCCCGACCUCCUGUUCCUUACCCUCUCUGAAACACAUCUCCCACCAUGAAUGAAGUUAAUAUAAUCAGAGAGGGAUGGCUUCACAAAAGAGGUGAAUAUAUCAAAACAUGGAGGCCCAGGUACUUCAUCCUAAAAAAUGACGGUUCCUUCAUUGGCCACAAAGAGAAGCCUGAUCUUAACGACCAGACUUCACCACCCCUCAACAACUUCUCAGUUGCAGAGUGUCAGUUAAUGAAGACUGAAAGACCCCGGCCUAACACAUUUGUAAUCCGUUGCCUACAGUGGACCACUGUCAUUGAACGCACCUUUCACGUGGACAGUAAUGAGGAGAGAGAGGAGUGGAUGCGUGCAAUCCAGUCGGUAGCAAAUAGUCUCAAGAUGCGAGAACAGGAGGAGGAGGAACCGAUGGAUCUGUUCGGCUCUCCCAGUGAAUGCAGCCUGGAGGAUAUGGAGAUGUCUCUGACCAAGAAUGGCUCCAAAGUGACGAUGAGUGAUUUUGAGUACCUGAAGCUUCUUGGAAAGGGGACGUUUGGGAAGGUGAUUCUGGUGAAAGAGAAGUCUACCGGUGUACAUUAUGCCAUGAAAAUACUGCGCAAAGAGGUCAUCAUUGCCAAGGAUGAAGUGGCACAUACAGUUACAGAAAGCAGGGUGUUACAAAACACACGACACCCCUUCCUCACGGUAAGGACCUUCAGGAUCACAUAUGACACAAUGAAUAAAGCAUGUAAAGGCACUGCUUUCUCAGAAAGGGCAGCCAGCACUCACUUGAGAUGUUCUUCCUCAUCAGCCCAAUUGUCCUCAGACACUGAAGUAUGCCUUCCAAACUCACGAUCGACUUUGUUUUGUUAUGGAAUAUGCCAACGGAGGAGAGCUCUUCUUCCACCUGUCCCGGGAGAGAGUGUUCACAGAAGACCGGGCGCGCUUCUACGGUGCUGAGAUUGUGUCGGCACUCGAGUACCUCCAUUCACGUGAUGUUGUUUAUCGUGAUCUAAAGCUGGAGAAUCUGAUGCUGGAUAAAGACGGCCAUGUAAAAAUCACUGAUUUUGGCCUUUGUAAGGAGGGCAUUACCCCUGAUGCUACCAUGAAAACCUUCUGUGGUACUCCUGAAUAUCUGGCUCCUGAGGU
This is an RNA transcript of Eleginops maclovinus (Patagonian blennie), 1424 nucleotides long. It is a transcript of the gene named RAC-beta serine/threonine-protein kinase-like, with no coding region annotated. NCBI's taxonomy places the organism in Eukaryota, Metazoa, Chordata, Actinopteri, Perciformes, Eleginopidae. The record is from RefSeq and is a predicted model, not a curated record. The transcript has 9 exons.